UUGUUUUGAUAUUAUUUUCCAUACCACGCUUGUGAGUUUGUAAGAAAUAAACAAAAACAUUCUCACAACUUUAAAGAAGUUACUUAUUGUACAUAGACAUAUUUUUUCACACACAACACUGUUCUGUGGUAAAAUUGUAUUAAACUUUUCAUACAAUUAUAUGGAAGAUACGACCGAUGCGCCCAAGAUCGCAAUAUGGAAACCGGUGCUAUGACCUCGUGAAUAAUGCAGCGACCAUUUUAUAUAUUUGUAUGUAUACAACGUGAUCAAGUAUGACGUAUGCUGACUAGUAACAGGUUUACCAAAAAUAACAAGUGUGUGCCAAAUAUUAAGCAAAAUGCAUGUUCUUCGCGCUGUUAAUAAUAGUUCUAGUUUAUUAUAAAGUCAUCGUUUACUCUAAAUAGCUGUGUAUUAUAGAUACAAAAGUGAUAUUUGACUAAGAAAAAGUUGGGAACCCCUGGUUUAUGUAGACGUGUCUCAAGUUGCCUGGAAUCAAAUCGAGUGCUUUAAACAUAAAAUUGUUUGUUCUAAGUUUUGAAAUGUGCUUUUGAUCAUUUAAUGUGGAUUUUGAUCUUGGAUUUUAUUAUUAUCAAAUUCGAUAUUUUAGUAAAAUAAGGUGAAUAUUCAAGAUGAACAAGGAAGAGCCUAGGUUUAAUAGAUGUUGUUUCUGCUUCCCGCUGCGAUACGGCUUGUUGGUGUGGGGCAAUGUGAAAAUUUCUGUGGCAGCGUUUUUCAUAACAACGACGUCGUAUGCGUUGCUUAGCCUUUGUUUGAUGUUCUCUACGUACGGGACUGAGGACAUGAGGCCGCGUUUCAUCAGAGAUGUCGCUCUAACUAGUGUGGGCCUCUGUUUGUUUAUACUGGACUUUUGCGUGAAUAUUGUCUUUAUAGUUAGAGGAUAUAAGAAAAGUAAAGAGCUGAUACGAUUCUUCUACUACUACAGUAUAGCUGUGUGGGUCCUCAGUAUAUUGUUGACUGCUUUGGCCAUCAGCUUCUCAAUCGAAGGCUGGUUGGCCAGGUACCUGAUGAUGAGGAUCCAUAUGGUCCAUAUACUCAACUACUUUAGUUACUUUGCGAUUAUCGUUGUUCAAACUUACUUCUUACUUCUACUAAAUAGUGAGAUUACCAAAUUGAAUAAUAAUACUUACGAUCCCGCGGCCAAGGUUGCAAUGGACACAAUUGCAUCAAAACGUCAAACCGAGACGGCAAACGACUCGGAUUCAGUAGAGUCAGAAAUCCUUUAAGGGAAAAAGCAUCUCUAUCAUAAUUAUCUACUAACUAGCUGACUGGGCAGACUUCGUGCCGCCUCCAACAUAUUUUUCCCACCUUUAAAACCUUCCCUGGACUUCUACAAAUAAUUCAAGACCACAAAUAAGCCAAAUCGGUCCAGCCGUUUUCAAGUUUUGGCGAGACUAACGAACAUCAAUUAAUUUUUAUAUAAUAAGAUGUUGGCAAUGUACAAAUAAUUAAAUAUUUAAUAUUAGUUACUUAAUAAGACUGACUUUUCUUUGCAAGAGGACCCAGAAGAGUGUAUUUCACCUUUAUUACAAUAGUUCUAAAUAUUAGGUACUCGUUACUCAUAUAAUAUUAUCUUUAUGUUUUAUUUUUGUGUGUAUGUAUUAUUUUGUGUACAAUGGGUAUUAAUUACCCAUUGUGGUGAAAAAUAAUACAAUCCAUUUGAUGAAUAUGUUUAAACGAAACGUAAACCAUAAUUAUUAGGUAUGUUGUUAACACGUUUACUGCCAUGCUGGUCAAUGGUGACCUGUAGUCUUAAUCGUAAGUAACUAUAAAAAAAAAAAGUUUUUACUAAAGGACAAUGAGUUAUGUUGGGCCCACCUCUUAAAAGGAAUAAGAUACCCCUCUAUGGAGAAGUAUUCUUCUGCAGAAUAAAACUUUGUGUUACGACUAAGGUCAAAAGUUAGUGGUUUUAGAGUUUAUAGUGACUAGAAUAUUUCCAAACAGUAAGAGUUUUUAUAAAAUACUAAUAAUAUAUCUAAGUAGCCAUGUUGUUUAUGAAUGUUGAUUUUAAUGUACUUUCCAUCAUUGAAAUAUUAUUUUACUACGUCAUGUAGGUAAUUGAUCCACAACAAACAAAUAUACAUGACUUUAACGUCUGUUGCCUCUCUAAACACGAUCCAAAAUACCACUGAAGCACGGGUCACUGUGCGCUGUGCGGCCCGAUGGGCAAGGUUGAGUUAACGGUCACCAGUACUUGACUCGACGCACGGUCCGAACGGAAAAACUAUUUUCUUUUUUCUUGACAGUGAAACAAAACGCGUCUUUGACGUAAGUUGACGCUUGUCAAUGACAGUGACAGUGAACGUCAAACUAUGUUUGUUUUGUUUUUAUUUUUCUUACCAUGUUUGUCAGUUUGUGAGAAAUAAACAAAAACAUUACAUGUAUUGACAUUUAAACACCGUUCUGUGCCAAAAUUAUAUUGGACAUUUCAUAUAAUCGUAUCGAAGAUACGACCGAUGCGCCCAAGAUCGCAAUAUAAAAACCGGUGCCAUGACCUCUUUAAUAAUGCAGCGUACGUUUUAUAUAGUUGUAUGUAUACAAAGUCAAGAAGUAUGACGCAUACAGAUGAGCAUCAGGUUUACAAAAAAACAAGCUUGAGCUAAAUAUUAAGGAAAAUGCGUACUAAGCUGAACAUGGCAUAAAGUGCUGUGUGUAACUUCGCGCUGUUGGCCUGAUUCUAAUUAUAGCUUUCAUGUCAUUAUAAAGUCAUCGUUUGCUCUAAAUAGCUGCGUAUUAUAAAAUACAGAUGGUGGUCUAACCUAUUUUUUUGAGUACUAAGUACUUUUUGGCCUGACAAGUGUGUGCCUUCUACAUUAAACUGGUGUUAAGUCUCUCUACAAAGUGUAAAAGAGGUUGUAUUUGUAAACUGACAUUAGAUAAAAUGGCUGAGCUGCCAGUGUUUAAAAAAUGUUGUUUUUGUAUACCUUUACGGUACGGGCUGCUAACAUGGGGGUAUCUGAAAUUGGGUAUAUCAACGGCCAUUUUGAUUAUAUUUCUAAUUAUCCUGUCACAAAUACCAUUGAGCCACUCAAAGGAUUUGAACAUAGUUAUUAUGAUAAUUGUAGUUAUAUUGACUGAAGUGGUUGUCCAUUGUGGAUUCAUCGUCGGGGUACAUAAGAAAGCUGUGAAGAUUAUGAGGCUGUACUUCUACUACGCCCUAUUCAUGUGGUCGGUGACAAUGAUGGCGGCGGUCGUCGUGACAGGCUUGCUUUCCGUUAGUUUGUACUUUACCGAUUCUAGUCUUGAAAUAAUCAUCUUUACCACGACUAUCGUAGCGUUCGCCCUGUCUAUUGCUGUCCAGACCUUCCUGCUGCUGGCUUUACGGAGCGAAAUCAUUAAGCUUCGAAGUAACUGUCCGUACAGAUUCGUCAAGGAUGACAACGAGCCUGAAGGUACUAUCACUCCCGUCAGCCAAAAUAUAGAUCUCACAUCAACAAAUAGCACGGAACCUAUACAAGAGAAAAUGGCAUUUUAGAGGAAAAAUCAUGUUUUUGUAUAAAAGGUGUUGAUACAAAUUAAAACGUGUCCAGAUUCUCUUGGUCGUCGUUUGAAGUUACAGACUUUCAAAGUUACAUGAAUGCUAUUAUACUGCUUUGUACAUUACUGUUCGACUAAUUACAAGCCACGAUCGGGACUCGUAAACAAGAGCAGCAAGCGCACAUCCAACCAUGCGAUAGCAUAGGAAAAUGAGGAUUAUGUACAUAAUGGUCUUUUCAAGUUACAUGAUUCCUUCUUACGUUAUAUAAAUGUACAUUAUUUUGCAAAUAUUAUAUAACAACUAUUCUAUUGUAGCUCAGUGCUUAAUAUAUUUUUAUACCUAAAUGUACGUCACAGAAUACGUGCAAAAUAUAAAUAAAAAAUGUCUUUACGAGGUUAAUAAUUGUAAGAUUUAUAAUUUUAUAUUAUAUUUUUUUAAGAAUUAAUAUAUAUUUCUGUAUAUUGACGUAUUUAUCAGAUUUAAUAUUAAGGUGCGUACAGAUUUCACUAUCGCUUGCAUGUGAAAAAUACUUAGUUUUUAAUGUAUAUUGCGUUGUAUAAAACUGUUUGAAAUUAAUAAUACAUAAGUAAUAAUCAAAUUAAAUUGCAUUUUCAAAAUGGCGGGCUUUGUGUGAGAAUCUGACGUUUAAAGUGAUCUUUACUAUAUAUAGGGUGACAUGAUGAAAUGCGCGCGGGAAAUUUUGUUGUUUUGUUAUUGUGAUAAAAAUAAAACUAAUGGGUAUACAAAAAGAGUUAAUUUGGGCAAGUUGUUUGUAAACAUGAGUAUAAUCACGUGUUUAAAUAUCGUUCACUAAUUACUUGUCACCUUAUAUAGGUACAUAAUACCUAUUGUUUUAUAUUUUAUAUGGAGUUGUGAUCUUCAGUAACCUAUUUUUUAAGAAUUUUGACUGUUUUAAUUUAUUUUUCAAGUGCCAUAAUGUUUGUAUGCCAGCUCAUAUAAUUUUGUUGUUGGAUUAUAAACUUUAGCUCUUUGUAUUAGAGUUGAAAAUCGUAAUUGUAAGUAAUAAAAUGUGAAACUUUACCUCUAUACUUAAUGCUUAUAGUGCCUUUGGAAUUAUGCUGUGUCCAAUUUAUUGUAAUAUUUUAGCAAUGUUAAUAUUUUUGAGUAUUUUGUCAAUAAAUGAGUGUAUUAAAGAAAUGUUCCACCAGUUACCUAGGUAGAUAUAUAAGCGACUGCGAAGUAUAAGACGAGUAGGAAAGUAGUCUACUUUCCUACUCGUCUUAUCGUCUUAUCGUCGUAUCGAAACGCCAACAACGACAUAUUCAAUGAAUUUUGUACGAAAUAUACACUUAGGAUCUUAAACUCCAGACUUAUUUUUAGAUUUGCUAGAAAAAUUAGUAGAUCAUCAAAUCUAUGAACGAAAUAACAUGAAAAACAUUUUGCUCUACUUUCUUUUCAUAAAAUAUACUAGUAUACCUACCCUACCUACUAAACUGUGACCUAUGUACCUUUUAGCAUUUGCUCGAAUAUACUCAGCACUGCUCCUGUUCUAGUUGGCAAAAAUUAUAAUAAAAAUUGUGUAUAUUUUUUAAACAUAUAUUUUUGUAUUCAAUAAAGUGCCUGGAAGUGUUUUUUGUAUUUAAUAAAAUGUAUUUACUGAA
RNA transcript from Spodoptera frugiperda (fall armyworm), 5118 nucleotides. RefSeq lists it as uncharacterized. The transcript is spliced from 9 exons. NCBI's taxonomy places the organism in Eukaryota, Metazoa, Arthropoda, Insecta, Lepidoptera, Noctuidae. The record is from RefSeq and is a predicted model, not a curated record.